GCGGUGGAGAAUGCCCAGGAGGGUAUUAGAGAAGACAGAAUCGUAGAUGAAGGAAUAUAUGUUCCAUUAAUAUUUUCAUUUUUCUUCUUUUGAUUCAUUUCUCAACACAAACAAAAACUUCAACAAAUCAUGGGUGCCAAGAAGAUCUACAAUGGCGACGUCGAUGUGGUUGAAGCUGUAGAAGAUGGAGAUAGCAACGCCGAGUCGUAUCAGCUAUCGUAUCUUUCCGUCGACCACUCUCUUCCUCUUCCCGCCAUAACUCCUCGCAUAAUCUCGCGCGAGUUGUGUAAGGAUCUGUUCAAGGAGUGGUCGGAGCUGGAUGCUUCUCGGUUCUCUGUUGAAACGGUCUCUGGUGGAAUCACUAAUCAGCUGCUAAAGGUUACGGUGAAAGAGGAAAGUGGUACUUCCGUUUCUGUCACCGUCAGACUAUAUGGACCUAACACGGAUUAUGUUAUCAAUCGUGACAGGGAACUACAGGCAAUCAAAUAUCUUUCAGCUGCAGGAUUUGGUGCCAAGCUUCUUGGAGUUUUUAAAAAUGGAAUGGUGCAGUCAUUUAUUCAUGCACGUACACUAGAACCAUCAGAUUUGAGAAAGCCAGAGCUAGCUGCCGAAAUUGCUAAACAGCUUAAUAAAUUCCACAAAGUAUAUAUUCCAGGUUCUAAUGAACCUCAGUUAUGGAACGAAAUCUUAAACUUUUACGAUAAAGCCUCCACACUGCAAUUUGAUGAUACCGGAAAGCAAAGUAUAUACGAUACAAUUUCAUUUCAGGAAAUUCACAAUGAAAUACUUGAGAUUAAGGAACUAACAAGCCUUCUCAAUGCACCCAUAGUGUUUGCUCACAACGACCUGCUUUCUGGGAACCUAAUGCUAAAUGAGGAAGAAGGACGACUCUAUUUCAUUGAUUUCGAGUACGGAUCAUACAGUUACAGAGGCUUUGACAUUGGUAAUCACUUCAAUGAAUAUGCUGGCUAUGACUGCGACUACAGCUGUUUAUCAAUUGCCGAGCAGUUAUCCAUCCAAGGAAGAACAGUAUCAUUUCUUCAGGCAUUAUUUACAGCCUGAAAAACCAGAUGAGGUUUCUCAAAAAGAUCUAGAAGCUCUCUAUGUGGAGUCAAACACGUUCAUGCUGGCUUCUCACUUGUAUUGGGCUUUAUGGGCACUUAUACAGGCAAGGAUGUCUCCGAUUGAUUUUGAUUACCUUAGUUAUUUCUUUCUACGUUACGGAGAAUAUAAAAAGCAGAAAGAAAAGUAUUGCUCUUUAGCGAGAUCUUUCCUUGCUCGAUCAGGAUUGGGUUGUGGUUCUGCAUAGAAGAUGCAAGAAAUUGGGGGUGUGAUUGGAUCGGCAAGUUUGUAUUUUUCAACCUUUUUACUGAUCUUGUUUGAUACCUAUUGUAAAUUUGUAUUUUGUACUCUAGAAUCUAUAGCAGAACUGUGUUUUCAUGGACAGCUCUGAGAAGAAUUUAGAAGGCUUCCAAAUAGAAUUGAUUUGAAAGGACUUUUCUCCUUGUUAUUGGAAUAAAAGGAUGAUAUAGAAUGAAAUGAUUUGUGUGAUUCUAA
This is an RNA transcript of Cucumis sativus (cucumber), 1557 nucleotides long. It is a transcript of the gene named probable ethanolamine kinase, with no coding region annotated. Lineage: Eukaryota; Viridiplantae; Streptophyta; Magnoliopsida; Cucurbitales; Cucurbitaceae. The record is from RefSeq and is a predicted model, not a curated record. The transcript has 12 exons.